Long non-coding RNA from Peromyscus leucopus (white-footed mouse), 828 nucleotides. RefSeq lists it as uncharacterized. The record is from RefSeq and is a predicted model, not a curated record. Lineage: Eukaryota; Metazoa; Chordata; Mammalia; Rodentia; Cricetidae. The transcript has 3 exons.
AGGGGCCAAAGCGGCCGGUGGAGGCGCCGAGUGGCUGGCCAUGGCGGUGGAGGGGGCGAGCGGGGCCAUGGCCCGCCGCAGACGCCGACCGGACACGGAGGCCGAGGAGUGCCUCUCUUUGUGGAACUCACACCGUCUGGUCUUCACCUGACGGGCGGUGCAGUCGCCUCCGCCCAAAUGUAUAUUUUACAUAUCAAAUUGGACCAAUUGCAUUUCAAGAACUCAGAAGUCCCAUGUUACCAUCGGACCAUGAGCUUUUGUAGGAGGAAACAGAAGAGAAAUCAAGGAACUAACAACAGACCAGAAAGAAGACACCAUCAAAGUCCAACUUGGUAAACCGAUAAGUUUUAUUGUGGUUACUUACAAGAGCAGGAAUGGCUCAGUCAGCUGGAUCAUCAAAAAGCCCACCUCCACAUGGGUGACAACUCAAGAAAACCCUGAAAACCUGGAGCAGACCUCACAACCUGCAGGCAGUUCAGCAGACUGGAGACUGCCCCUCUUCUAGGCAGUGAGGUAGGUAUCUGCUUCUUCCAGGCAGCUUGAGUUGGGCUGAGAGUGUCUCAGCAUCCAUAAAGCAUGUGCUUGGGGAAGAAAGGGCUUAGUAAAUCUGGUCAGUUUGAAGGGCUUUCUGAAACCUUUGAGUUGUUUACUUCCUGAGCUUAAGGAUCUUACCUGUAGGAUGGAAUGAUUCACCUCCCCAUAGCAUGUCCAAUGUCUUGUUUCCCUCCAAAAUGGAAAGUUAAUCUGAGAGGAAGCUGCUAUAAAUAGGCUGGUAAUACAUAAUUUGAGAUUUCUGAUGUUUUGUUUAUUGUUGUAAGAAAAUAAAGA